GAUGAACGCUGGCGGCGUGCCUAAUACAUGCAAGUCGAGCGAACAGAUGAGGAGCUUGCUCCUCUGACGUUAGCGGCGGACGGGUGAGUAACACGUGGAUAACCUACCUAUAAGACUGGGAUAACUUCGGGAAACCGGAGCUAAUACCGGAUAAUAUAUUGAACCGCAUGGUUCAAUAGUGAAAGACGGUUUUGCUGUCACUUAUAGAUGGAUCCGCGCCGCAUUAGCUAGUUGGUAAGGUAACGGCUUACCAAGGCAACGAUGCGUAGCCGACCUGAGAGGGGGAUCGGCCAACCGGGAACGGAAACCGGGCCCAGACUCCAAGGGGGGGCAGCGGUGGGGAAUCUUCCGAAAGGGGGAAAAGCCUGAGGGAGCAACGCCGGGUGGGUAAUAAAGGCCUCGGGAUCGUAAAACCUUGUUAUUGGGGAAAAACAAAUGUGAAAGUAACUAUGCCGGUUUGGACGGUACCAAAACAAAAAGCCACGGCUAACUACGU
Molecule: ribosomal RNA, 496 nt
Filed under: uncultured bacterium
Lineage: Bacteria
Description: partial 16S ribosomal RNA
Rfam family: Bacterial small subunit ribosomal RNA
Source: RNAcentral